CCUACGGGUGGCAGCAGUGGGGCAUAUUGGGCAAUGGACGCAACUCUGACCCAGCAACGCCGCGUGAAUGAUGAAGGUCUUCGGAUUGUAAAGUUCUUUUCUCAGGGAAGAAGGAAGUGACGGUACCUUAGGAAUAAGCCUCGGCUAACUACGUGCCAGCAGCCGCGGUAAUACGUAGGAGGCAAGCGUUAUUCGGAAUGACUGGGCGUAUAGGGUGCGUAGGUGGUUUGACAAGUGAGGAGCGCAACUCCGGAGCUCAACUUAGGAACUACUACUAAAACUGUUGGACUUGAGUGUAGGAGAGGGAAUCGGAAUUCCUGGUGUAGCGGUGGAAUGCGUAGAUAUUAGGAGGAACACCAGUGGCGAAGGCGAAUUGCUAGACUGUAACUGACACUGAGGCACGAAAGCGUGGGGAGCAAACAGGAUUAGAUACCCGGGUAGUC
This 443-nucleotide ribosomal RNA is filed under the name uncultured bacterium. RNAcentral describes it as "partial 16S ribosomal RNA". It matches the Rfam family "Bacterial small subunit ribosomal RNA", at positions 338 to 795 of the family's 1533-position model. The record is from RNAcentral.